UGAGGAAUAUUGGUCAAUGGGCGCAAGCCUGAACCAGCCAUCCCGCGUGCAGGAAGACGGCGCUAUGCGUUGUAAACUGCUUUUCCAGGGAGAGAAACUUGCGCACGUGUUGCGCAAUUGACGGUACCCUGGGAAUAAGCAUCGGCUAACUCCGUGCCAGCAGCCGCGGUAAUACGGAGGAUGCGAGCGUUAUCCGGAUUCAUUGGGUUUUAAGGGUGCGUAGGCGGACUAUUAAGUCAGUGGUGAAAUCCUGCAGCUUAACUGCAGAACUGCCAUUGAUACUGAUAGCCUUGAGUUUGGUUAAGGUAGGCGGAAUGUGUAAUGUAGCGGUGAAAUGCUUAGAUAUUACACAGAACACCAAUUGCGUAGGCAGCUUACUGAGCCGACACUGACGCUCAAGCACGAAGGCGUGGGGAUCAAACAGG
This 425-nucleotide ribosomal RNA is filed under the name uncultured prokaryote. RNAcentral's name for it is "bacterial SSU rRNA". It matches the Rfam family "Bacterial small subunit ribosomal RNA", at positions 355 to 776 of the family's 1533-position model. The record is from RNAcentral. RNAcentral also lists the same sequence under 1 other name.